This 275-nucleotide ribosomal RNA is filed under the name uncultured Alphaproteobacteria bacterium. RNAcentral's name for it is "partial 16S ribosomal RNA". It matches the Rfam family "Bacterial small subunit ribosomal RNA", at positions 1085 to 1382 of the family's 1533-position model. The record is from RNAcentral. Lineage: Bacteria; Pseudomonadati; Pseudomonadota; Alphaproteobacteria.
UUCCGGCACGAGCGCAACCCACAUCCUUAGUUGCCAGCAGUUCGGCUGGGCACUCUAGGGAAACUGCCCGUGAUAAGCGGGAGGAAGGUGUGGAUGACGUCAAGUCCUCAUGGCCCUUACGGGUUGGGCUACACACGUGCUACAAUGGCAGUGACAAUGGGUUAAUCCCAAAAAGCUGUCUCAGUUCGGAUUGGGGUCUGCAACUCGACCCCAUGAAGUCGGAAUCGCUAGUAAUCGCGUAACAGCAUGACGCGGUGAAUACGUUCCCGGGCCUU